RNAcentral lists this long non-coding RNA (253 nucleotides) under Salvia miltiorrhiza (redroot sage). RNAcentral's name for it is "long non-coding RNA (SMIL_LNC009801)". Lineage: Eukaryota; Viridiplantae; Streptophyta; Magnoliopsida; Lamiales; Lamiaceae. The record is from RNAcentral.
UGCAUUUUCAUAUAGCAUAUGAAACGUUAUAUGAUUCAGUAUUAAUUUUAAAAAGGAAGAGAGAAAACCUAUUAAAUUAUACCUUAGAAGAUACACACAAAAUGUAACUUAAGAUCGAGCCUCCUUAAGACCCCAACAACAAAAAUUCAAUGAAAAAAACUAUUGUUGUCGAACAACAAGAGUGGGACUAAACAGACGCAAAACAAUCUCUACAUCUCCAAAUAAUACAGUCACUAUUCCAACCAGAAAAAAC